Molecule: RNA transcript, 1681 nt
Organism: Caenorhabditis elegans
Lineage: Eukaryota; Metazoa; Nematoda; Chromadorea; Rhabditida; Rhabditidae
Gene: clec-80
Gene name: Non-coding transcript of protein-coding gene clec-80
Exons: 9
Source: RefSeq, marked reviewed
AUGAAACAAUUUCUACUAAUUUUACUAUUUUUUACUUCUUUAGCUGCUGCCCAACAGUGUUGGGAUAGUUCAGAUAGACUGAUCAACGGGAGAUGCUAUAAACUUGUCAACCAACAACUUUCCUACCAGGACGCCCGGUCCUGGUGUCGUUACCAGAAUUCCGUGGUAUCAUAUUUGGCAACUGUUUCGGAUCAAAUAACGGCGAGCUUUUUGGCAUCGUACGCCGUCACCGCAUUUGGCUCAAACGAGGGAAGCUUCUGGAUUGGUCUAAGCCGCUCAAGUUCCACAUACAAAUGGGAUGACGGAACUCCCCUAGGCUGGACCAAUUUCAAUUAUCAAAAUUCUCAAGACUACGUGGCCGAAAGUGUGACGAAUGCCAAAUGGACCGCCUACAACAGUGAAACAGAACUGAAAUUCGUGUGCUCCUACUAUCCACUGAUGCCAACCACUAACUUGGCGUCGUCUACAGAUGCACCGCGUACUACAGAGGCAUCUACUUAUUGGACUUCCGAGACACUGACAUCGUCGAGCACUUAAAGUCUACGGCCAACACCCAUAUUUUCCAAAUUUCAAAUUUUCUUAUCAAUGCUUCCUGUUACUUAUCACCCAAUAUUAUUACUUUUUCUGAAAAAUUUUUCAGUUUUAUUUUGUCAUGAAAAAUCUCAUUUUACUUACCUUUUCCUCAUUUUUCGCUAUUUCUCAUUGUCAGGCACAAAAGUGCAGUGAUGAUUCGGACAAUUUAAUUAACGGAAGAUGCUACAAACUGGUGACUCAACAGCUCACCUACUCGGAUGCUCGUGGCUUUUGCCACCAGGCGGACCCGGGGUACACUCUGGCUACGGUAUUGGAUAAGUCGACGGCUAAUGUUUUGUCAGUCCUCGCCCAUUCCGUGUUCAACUCCAGCAACGGUGGGCAAUUCUGGAUUGGUUUGAGCAGAAAUUCCACCGGGAGCCCAUGGACAUGGGAUGACAAAAGUUCCUUCGGCUGGUCAAAUUUCGGAACUCAACUAGGCCAAAACUAUGUGGCACAGAGCAGUACGAACUCCAAAUGGGGCACAUUUGGUAGUACUGAUAAGAAUUAUUUCGUUUGCAGUUAUGACCCAGCUAGUGUGCCUACCACUGCGAAACCUUUAUCUUCUGUAACAUGUCUAAUUAUGUAUGACACACAGUCUCUCGGAAUUGAUCAAAAUGCAAUUAAUUCUUAUAAAGCGUACUUCAACUUUGCCCAUCUUGUCGCUAGCAAACUGAAUGACAAGACAAUGCUAACCGGCUACAUUGACAAUUACGGGUACUCUGCUGGGCUUAAUGAUCAUCAAAACUACCCUACUGAUGAUUUUUUUGAUUUAAGAGGAAUUCCGUUCCCAAUUGACGGCACUGACGAUGAUAUCGAUUUAGAUCUGAAAGAUGUCGACGGAUCUCUAGCAGCCGCUUCUUGGACCCCACCAGUCACAGAUCAAACAUGCAUGAUAUUUAUAUCAGCUGCCCCAGAAGCCGAAUACGGUGGUACCACAAUCAAAUCCACCUACUCCUCCUUUGGUACAGUAGUCGGAGUACUGGUUGGUGGAGCCACUUCAAUUCCUGGGCUCUCAAUUGACACAAAUGUGAUUGCUGCUCCAGCGUUGUCGGAUUCGGACGCCGAUGCUGUUGUGAGCAAGCUCCUGGAGCUGUUACCUACAGCUUAA